CGAACCGUACAAACGUUAUUCGGAAUCACUGGGCUUAAAGGGUGCGUAGGCGGCCAUGUAAGUGGGGUGUGAAAUCCCUCGGCUCAACCGAGGAACUGCGCUCCAUACUGCAUGGCUUGAGGGAGACAGGGGUAAGCGGAACUGAUGGUGGAGCGGUGAAAUGCGUUGAUAUCAUCAGGAACACCGGUGGCGAAAGCGGCUUACUGGGUCUCUUCUGACGCUGAGGUACGAAAGCUAGGGUAGCGAACGGGAUUAGAUACCCCGGUAGUCCUAGCUGUAAACGAUGAGCACUUAUCUGGGGAUCCUCCCAUAGGUUCCCGGAUGUAGCGAAAGUGUUAAGUGCUCCGCCUGGGGAGUAUGGUCGCAAGGCUG
RNAcentral lists this ribosomal RNA (372 nucleotides) under uncultured organism. Its description in RNAcentral is "bacterial SSU rRNA". It matches the Rfam family "Bacterial small subunit ribosomal RNA", at positions 526 to 896 of the family's 1533-position model. The record is from RNAcentral.